GAUGAACGCUGGCGGCGUGCCUAAUACAUGCAAGUCGAGCGAACGGACGAGAAGCUUGCUUCACUGAUGUUAGCGGCGGACGGGUGAGUAACACGUGGAUAACCUACCUAUAAGACUGGGAUAACUUCGGGAAACCGGAGCUAAUACCGGAUAAUAUUUUGAACCGCAUGGUUCAAAAGUGAAAGACGGUCUUGCUGUCACUUAUAGAUGGAUCCGCGCUGCAUUAGCUAGUUGGUAAGGUAACGGCUUACCAAGGCAACGAUGCAUAGCCGACCUGAGAGGGUGAUCGGCCACACUGGAACUGGGACACGGUCCAGACUCCUACGGGAGGCAGCGGUAGGGAAUCUUCCGCAAUGGGCGAAAGCCUGACGGAGCAACGCCGCGUGAGUGAUGAAGGUCUUCGGAUCGUAAAACUCUGUUAUUAGGGAAGAACAUAUGUGUAAGUAACUGUGCACAUCUUGACGGUACCUAAUCAGAAAGCCACGGCUAACUACGUG
Molecule: ribosomal RNA, 497 nt
Filed under: uncultured bacterium
Lineage: Bacteria
Description: partial 16S ribosomal RNA
Rfam family: Bacterial small subunit ribosomal RNA
Source: RNAcentral